CCCUUAGAUGUCCUGGGCCGCACGCGCGCUACACUGAUGCAUGCAACGAGUUUAUAACCUUGGCCUGAAAGGUCUGGGUAAUCUUUUGAACGUGCAUCGUGAUAGGGAUAGAUUAUUGCAAUUGUUAAUCUUGAACGAGGAAUUCCUAGUAAACGCGAGUCAUCAGCUCGCAUUGAUUACGUCCCUGCCCUUUGUACACACCGCCCGUCGCACCUACCGAUUGAAUGGUUCGGUGAAGAUCUCGGACUUCGAUAUUUAUCCUUUAUUGAGUUUAUAUUGUGGGAAGUUAUCUAAACCUCAUCAUUUAGAGGAAGGUGAAGUCGUAACA
This 328-nucleotide ribosomal RNA is filed under the name uncultured eukaryote. RNAcentral's name for it is "partial 18S ribosomal RNA". It matches the Rfam family "Eukaryotic small subunit ribosomal RNA", at positions 1470 to 1796 of the family's 1831-position model. The record is from RNAcentral.